Molecule: ribosomal RNA, 357 nt
Filed under: Scheffersomyces shehatae
Lineage: Eukaryota; Fungi; Ascomycota; Pichiomycetes; Serinales; Debaryomycetaceae
Description: eukaryotic LSU rRNA
Rfam family: Eukaryotic large subunit ribosomal RNA
Source: RNAcentral
GGCACCUUCGGUGUCCGAGUUGUAAUUUGAAGAAGGUAACUUUGGAGUUGGCUCUUGUCUAUGUUCCUUGGAACAGGACGUCACAGAGGGUGAGAAUCCCGUGCGAUGAGAUGUCCAACUCUAUGUAAAGUGCUUUCGAAGAGUCGAGUUGUUUGGGAAUGCAGCUCUAAGUGGGUGGUAAAUUCCAUCUAAAGCUAAAUAUUGGCGAGAGACCGAUAGCGAACAAGUACAGUGAUGGAAAGAUGAAAAGAACUUUGAAAAGAGAGUGAAAAAGUACGUGAAAUUGUUGAAAGGGAAGGGUUUGAGAUCAGACUUGGUAUUUUGUAUGUCUUGCUUUCGGGUGGGGCCUCUGCAGUU